This 250-nucleotide unclassified non-coding RNA is filed under the name uncultured Periconia. Its description in RNAcentral is "sequence contains ITS2". Lineage: Eukaryota; Fungi; Ascomycota; Sordariomycetes; Microascales; Halosphaeriaceae. The record is from RNAcentral.
AACGCACAUUGCGCCCCUCGGUAUUCCGUGGGGCAUGCCUGUUCGAGCGUCAUUUACACCCUCAAGCUAUGCUUGGUGUUGGGCGUCUGUCCCGCCUCCGUGCGUGGACUCGCCUCAAAGUCAUUGGCAGCGGUCUUGUCGGCUUCUCGCGCAGCACAUUUGCGCUUCUCGGAGCCCCGGCGGAUCAGCGUCCAGCAAGCAAUUUUCAUGACUUGACCUCGGAUCAGGUAGGGAUACCCGCUGAACUUAA